CCUACGGGAGGCAGCAGUGGGGAAUAUUGCGCCAUGGGCGAAAGCCUGACGCAGCGACGCCGCGUGAGGGAUGAAGGUCUUCGGAUCGUAAACCUCUGUCAGCAGGGAAGAACGGUCACUGUGCUAAUCAGCAGUGAAUUGACGGUACCUGCACAGGAAGCACCGGCUAACUCCGUGCCAGCAGCCGCGGUAAUACGGAGGGUGCGAGCGUUAAUCGGAAUUACUGGGCGUAAAGCGCUCGUAGGCGGUAUGGCAAGUCAAGGGUGAAAUCCCCGCGCUCAACGUGGGAACUGCCUUUGAAACUGGGAAACUGGAGUGUGUGAGAGGAUAGUGGAAUUCCAGGUGUAGGAGUGAAAUGCGUAGAUAUCUGGAGGAACAUCAGUGGCGAAGGCGACUAUCUGGCACAUAACUGACGCUGAGGAGCGAAAGCGUGGGUAGCAAACAGGAUUAGAUACCCUAGUAGUC
This 465-nucleotide ribosomal RNA is filed under the name uncultured bacterium. RNAcentral's name for it is "partial 16S ribosomal RNA". It matches the Rfam family "Bacterial small subunit ribosomal RNA", at positions 338 to 795 of the family's 1533-position model. The record is from RNAcentral.